RNAcentral lists this long non-coding RNA (1263 nucleotides) under Salvia miltiorrhiza (redroot sage). Its description in RNAcentral is "long non-coding RNA (SMIL_LNC002270)". The record is from RNAcentral. Lineage: Eukaryota; Viridiplantae; Streptophyta; Magnoliopsida; Lamiales; Lamiaceae.
ACAAAUACAGAUGAAAUAAAAGAGAUCGAGGUUGGUUUAAGCCUGAAAGCUCAGCCUCACAAGUUAUACCAGAUACCGGACUCUCUCCCCUCUCCCUCUCUCUCUCUCUCUCUCUCUCACACACACACGUCGGAUCGAUAGGUAAGCCGUAAUCGAUCGCCUCUGUUUUCUUUUCACUGCUUCUUGGAUCAUAAAUUGAUGUGUGGUAGUUUUUGUUUCUUUGAUUGUUCCAUAUUUUUUUCAUGCUGAAGAUUCGAGUUACUUGUUUAUGAGUUUCUAACAGUGUUUAUAGUUGUCGAUUCGAUUAGUUCAAUCAUGGAGAUCUGCUAUUUCAGCUGGUUAGGUCUUCAGUUAACCGAGAAUGUAAUUUUAGUGAUGAUUUUAUGGCGGAUAUUUACCUUUCGAAUUAUUUCAUUGAAAAGGAAAUUGGGAUUUAUGACUCUGUUGAUAGACUGUUGUGAACCUUAGAGUAGUUCUUUAUUUCAUUUGAAGAUUGAGGUAUUGCAGAUUGGAUUCUUGUGGGUUUGAGAUGAAUGGACUAAAAAAAUCCCAUAAGAAUUGAUGCAAAUUUGGAUAUUGUGAUUCUUCCAAUUUUCACUUGGCUGACCUAGGUUAAGUUUAAACCUUCGAAGAAUCGGGGUGUUUGGCUACUUUAGAAUUGUGAUUCUUCUAAUUUUCACUUUAGAGAUUGGCUUACAUUCAAUGAUUUCCAUUAAACAGUCUUAACACAAUAUUCAGAUCUGGGAUAGAGGAGACGUUUUAUGAGUUAUGAAAUCAAUGAAAGUGCUGAUAGAUAAAUUCCACCAGAUUUUCAAAAUCCAGCUACAACUGAGUAUAUUAUUUAGUAGGAUAUUACUUCUGAAAACCUCAAGAUAACCCAACUACAAGAAUAGCUCCCAGUUUACAAUGUCUUUUGAAAUCUAAGUCUUCAAUAUCGUAUAAAGAGUGUACUGAGCCAUAUAUCUCUUAGGAGCGUAGAAAUGGGAUGCAGUUAAAUAGUUGUCCUGUGUUUGAAAUAUGAUUGAGAAGAAGUGAUAAAUUAGCUUCAUUUCUGUGUUACAGGGCUCCUCUGAGUAGUUCGUCAAUUGGAGGUUAACGAUGAGUCGUUCAGAAACUAUUAUCUUCGUUUAAAGAGACUAGAUCCUCUAAGUUUCUGUUCCGGGAGGCUAAAUGUACCCCAAUUAUACUUUGAGAAGCUAAUUGCAACCUGUUGCCCUCUUUUUGUCCUUUAGUACUUACUUUGUUUUCACUAAUAAGUUGAUA